CACCUCCAGCCAGCAGACCUGAGAAUCGAAAGUAAGAAGUACAGAAGGAAAGAAAAGCAGUAAGCCCCGAGGCAAAGGUGGCUCUUCAGAGCCUCUUUAUUCUAAGUGACGGAGAGACGGAUGUGAACACGUAACUGAAUCUACUUCCGUGGCCUGGAGGAAAUGGUUCUCUGUAUCCACAAUGCAAGAUGCAACCACACCAGGUGAAACAUACCAUUGUACCAUCCCACUUGUUCAAGUGCUAGCCAAGGUAGCUAAAUCCAGAGAUGGAAAGCAGCAUGUCUGUAAUACAGCUUCAUUUUGAUUGCCAACCUGAUUGGACUAAGAAGUUUCCAGAAGAUCAGGAAAGCCCACAUCUGGGUGCAUCUUUUUUGUGGACUUGUACAAUGGGAUUAACUGGGAGGGGAAACCAACCCGGAACAUAGAUGGCACUGUCCCAAAGCUAGAGGCCCAAGGAGAACUAAAUGGGGAAAGGGGGAAACUGGCAUUUUUGCCCCUCGAUCUCUGCUUCCUGACUGCAACAGUGUGAGGCCUCUCCUUCGUCCUGCUCUCCUUCGUCCUGCUCUCCUUCGUCCUGCUCUCCUUCGUCC
Molecule: long non-coding RNA, 590 nt
Filed under: Cricetulus griseus (Chinese hamster)
Lineage: Eukaryota; Metazoa; Chordata; Mammalia; Rodentia; Cricetidae
Description: lncRNA (ENSCGRG00015037878.1)
Source: RNAcentral